AAGAAAAAAAGAAGAAAGAAAAAA
Molecule: small RNA, 24 nt
Filed under: Arabidopsis thaliana (thale cress)
Lineage: Eukaryota; Viridiplantae; Streptophyta; Magnoliopsida; Brassicales; Brassicaceae
Description: ATSL180090
Source: RNAcentral